GCACCGCUAGUCUAAUGGUUAGGAUAUCUGCCUUCCAAGCAGAUGGACCGGGUUCGAUUCCCGGGCGGUGCA
RNAcentral lists this transfer RNA (72 nucleotides) under Macaca mulatta (Rhesus monkey). RNAcentral's name for it is "tRNA-Gly (TCC) (tRNA-Gly-TCC-7-1)". It matches the Rfam family "tRNA". From Rfam's summary of the family: Transfer RNA (tRNA) molecules are approximately 80 nucleotides in length. Their secondary structure includes four short double-helical elements and three loops (D, anti-codon, and T loops). Further hydrogen bonds mediate the characteristic L-shaped molecular structure. tRNAs have two regions of fundamental functional importance: the anti-codon, which is responsible for specific mRNA codon recognition, and the 3' end, to which the tRNAs corresponding amino acid is attached (by aminoacyl-tRNA synthetases). tRNAs cope with the degeneracy of the genetic code in two manners: having more than one tRNA (with a specific anti-codon) for a particular amino acid; and 'wobble' base-pairing, i.e. permitting non-standard base-pairing at the 3rd anti-codon position. Lineage: Eukaryota; Metazoa; Chordata; Mammalia; Primates; Cercopithecidae. The record is from RNAcentral.